RNAcentral lists this long non-coding RNA (627 nucleotides) under Sorghum bicolor (sorghum). Its description in RNAcentral is "long non-coding RNA (SBIC_LNC014628)". The record is from RNAcentral. Lineage: Eukaryota; Viridiplantae; Streptophyta; Magnoliopsida; Poales; Poaceae.
CUCAGUUUUGACUUGUGGUGUAGAAUAAUAUUCUAUAUCUAUACAUACAAAAUAUACUCAAUACCAUGUAGUAAUGCUAUAUAUAUAAUGAUUUAUUUAAAAAAAUCCACAGCAACAUACGGGAAAUUCACCUAGUUAUUCAUUAUAGCAAAACCACCUUUAAAACUAAUAUAAAGUACACGGUUUAAAAAAAUUAAGGGCAGACUUUUUCCUUCCUAGAUUUUUUUUUUGAGGAAAUAGAACAAUUAUAUUUGGCUGGGCCGAGCAGAUCCUACGGCGAAACAGCCCACCACAACCCAAAGCGCAGGCGCGCAGCUAUACCCCGGCCCACUCUGGAUCACGAACUCUUCUAGGAUUUCGCUUCGAGUUCUCAUAAAUCCUCCUCGCUGGGAUCUUCCUCCUUCCGUAGGAAUUGAGAACCCGUGGCUCUCUUGGUUGCAGCACGAUCGUGGCACGCCGCCCGCCGCAUCGCCUCCGGUCACGGCCGCCACUGAUCGCGCGAGGUCUGCCCGCCCCUCUUUCACCCCCUCUCUCGUGUUGGUGUUUCAAUCGUUCAAAAGAGUUCGAAACUGGUAAACGCGCCGUGAUAGUGUGCUCCUUGCGUUUAUUCUUCUUACGUUAGGGUUG